Non-coding RNA from Vicugna pacos (alpaca), 102 nucleotides. NCBI's taxonomy places the organism in Eukaryota, Metazoa, Chordata, Mammalia, Artiodactyla, Camelidae. The record is from RefSeq and is a predicted model, not a curated record.
CUCUUUGCCUACACGAAGCUGUCGGUGGUACUAAUUACUACUGAGAAAAAACAACAAGCCAACCCAUUAAGUAUUCAGGGAUAGGGAUGGAAGGUAGACUGC